AAAUAGGGUUCCCCAACCAAGAUUGACUUCCUCUCUCUUUCUUAUACAAGGCAUGCAGAAGAUGUGUGGCAAGCAUGGGAGUUCCUCUCAAAGUUAGGUGAUCUUAGCCAAACUCUGAUUUUUGCCAAAAUUGAGAAUGUGGAGGGCUUGAACCAUUUUGAUGAGAUCCUGGAAGAAGCAGAUGGUAUAAUUCUGUCAAGAGGAAA
Molecule: long non-coding RNA, 206 nt
Organism: Triticum dicoccoides
Lineage: Eukaryota; Viridiplantae; Streptophyta; Magnoliopsida; Poales; Poaceae
Exons: 3
Source: RefSeq, a predicted model, not a curated record